AUCUCCGCCUCCUUCCUCAACCUCAUCUCCACUUUCACUUCUCUUGCUAAACCCGAUCUCAUUUCUCACAGAGAUUUAACUCUCUUCUCCUCUCUGUAAUCAACCGCAAAACCGCUGUUGCUUCAUUUCUCUCUCUGGUAACACCAACAAUACCAGAUCCAUCUUCUAUAGCCGAGUCUUGUUGCACCUGAUUUCGUUUCAUGCCCUAACCAUCGCAGUCUUGUAUCACACUCCCAUCCAUCCAAAACUCUUGAUUCUGAUCCUGCAAAUCACUACGCCUUCGUCAAUCAUCCACCAAUAAUCAAGGAAUCAACAUGUUCGUUUCAAUUGCCGAUUCAUUUUAGUUUCUGUAGUUUUGAUUUUCUGAAAGAAAAGAAGAAGUUGCGAUGAUGGUUAAACAACUCUUUAAUCUGAUUAACAAAUGAUUCUUUGCUUUUAUCUUCAUUGUAUCUUGAUCUAUGGAUAUUAGAUCUUCUUUGGUUGUUGAUUUUACGGUGCAAUGACGAUUGUUUGGAAAACCCAUCUCAUUAUGAGAAAGCAAAUCCAUUUUAUAUCUGAGCACCCAAAAAAUUUCUUUCAAUUUAUUUUUCAAAGUUUAUUUAGGGCUUUUCUUAUUCGAUGCAUUUAGGGAUUUUGGUUCUUAUCAGAUUCUGAAAAUUUUGCAUUUUUUUUUACUGCAAUCCGUUACCCUAGGUUUGAUUGGGUUCGAUGUUGAUGUUAAAAACAUAAAAUUUGGUUAUUGCAGGUAAAGACUAGUAAAUUAAAUCUUUAUGAUUCUUUAGAUAUAUUUUGAUUAUGGUUAUUUGACAGAUUUGAACUCUAAUGAUUGUUGAAGAGUUGAGAUUUGUGGUUAUUCGACUGAGUUUAUGUUUUUCCUUAAUUUUUUCAUGUUCAAUUUUUGUUGGAUGUUGAAUUAAUAGCUUACUGAGUUUCCUUUUGGGUUUGAUUCAUAUUGUUCUUCAUUUAGUUUUGUUUGUUCAUCUGAAAUUGGCAAAGAGCCUUAAUCAAUUUUUCAGAAAUUAGUAAAUCAGUAGUCUGCAAUGAUCGUAGUAAUAGUGGUGUUCAGCGAUUUGUUGUAAUGAACAUAUCAAAUUUACGUCUCAGACAAGAGUGUUUGAAGGGUACCUUUAAAUUAGGUACCAAAGUUAUGGGUUUUAUUGAUUGGUUCUUUAUGUUGUUAUGGUUGUCAUAGUUUUUCAUUUUUCCAAUGGGUCUAGACUUUUGUUUGUUUGGAAUCAAAAAAUCUGAUUAGGUUUGCUCCACUAAUCUAAGCUUUGAAAAAGGAACAAAAGUAUCAGGACCAAUUUUUGGAGGAAGGAAUUAGAUCCGGAACGAGAACUCUAUUGACCUCAAAAUCAGAGCUAAAAUCUAAAAGAACAGAUUGAAUGAUAUUAAGUUGCAGAAUCGAUCCGUGUUUUUAAGCUUGUCCAGUGAUAUUUCAAAGAACUCUAAUCUUCUCAAAGUUGAAGUUGAAAUGGAUGUAUCAAUCUUGUUCCUCUUCUAAUUUCUUUUACCAAAUAAACGGGAUUUUAUUUUUUCUAUCUUUGUCAAGCUGAUUGUAAAUUUGUUGAUUAAUAAAUGAUAUUGUAAUUGAUUAAUAAAAUAAAUUAAUUUGCAUUUAAUUUGGUUAUCA
Molecule: long non-coding RNA, 1633 nt
Organism: Papaver somniferum (opium poppy)
Lineage: Eukaryota; Viridiplantae; Streptophyta; Magnoliopsida; Ranunculales; Papaveraceae
Exons: 2
Source: RefSeq, a predicted model, not a curated record